Molecule: ribosomal RNA, 768 nt
Filed under: Triticum aestivum (bread wheat)
Lineage: Eukaryota; Viridiplantae; Streptophyta; Magnoliopsida; Poales; Poaceae
Description: partial small subunit ribosomal RNA
Source: RNAcentral
AUGCCCUUUCCUCCUAAACCAUCCAAGAAAAAGGAUGAUGAGGAUUUUGAGCGCUUUGCUGAAAUGAUUAGACCUAUCUUUUUGCGUAUGCGUUUAACCGAUAUGCUUAAAAUGCCUCCUUAUGCUAAGUAUAUGAAAGAUAUUGUUACUAAUAACAAAAAGAUACCGGAAGCUGAAAUCUCCACCAUGCUUGCUAAUUAUACUUUUAAGGAUGGAAUACCAAAGAAACUUGGAGAUCCAGGAGUACCAACUAUUCCAUGCUUCAUUAAAGGAAACUAUGUUAAAACUGCUUUAUGUGAUCUUGGACUCGGUGUUAGUGUUAUGCCUUUCUCUUUGUAUCGUAGACUUGAAUUGAAUAAGUUGACACCUACUGCAAUAUCUUUGCAAAUGGUUGAUAAAUCAACUGCUAUACCCAUCAGUAUUUGUGAGGAUGUGCCUGUUGUGGUUGCAAACGUUACUAUCUUAAUGGACUUUGUUAUUCUCAAUAUUCCCGAGGACGAUAGUAUGUUGAUCAUCCUUGGUAGACCCUUUCUGAAUACUGCAGGGGCUUUUAUUGAUUGCAACAAAGGCAAUCUCACUUUUCAUGUUAAUGGUAAUGAGCAUAUAGUACACUUUCCCAAGAAACAACCUCAAGUUCAUAGUAUCAAUUAUAUUGGAAAAUUUUCAACUAUUACUAUUGGAGGUUUUGAGUUCCCUCUUCCUACUGUCAAAAAGAAAUAUGAUAUUCUUAUUGUUGGGGACAUGCAUAUUCCCGUUAAGAUAACCUAG